Long non-coding RNA from Rosa chinensis, 1892 nucleotides. RefSeq lists it as uncharacterized. The transcript is spliced from 3 exons. The record is from RefSeq and is a predicted model, not a curated record. NCBI's taxonomy places the organism in Eukaryota, Viridiplantae, Streptophyta, Magnoliopsida, Rosales, Rosaceae.
UGAAAUUAACCCAUAUAUCUGAGCUUGAGCACUAAUUGGAAGAAUAUGUGAGAUGAUAAGAGCCAUAUCAAAAGUUCAUAAAUUUAAGAUUGGGUAAUCAGGUCGGGUCUUACUAUUUCGAGCAAUAACGAGCUCUUGGAGCUCUAAGAUCUGACUGUUGAACCCGGCGAUCAACGAAUCCAACAACGCCUCUGCUUUUUCCACUCCCAUCUCACUCUCUCUUCACAAGAAAAAGACGAUGAAACACCAGAUAGAAAAUCAGUAUUGGUGGUGGGGAGAAGAGAGAGAGGACCUAUGCUAGUGGUGGUCGGAGAACGAGCUCGAGACCGCUCGGGUAUGAGAACGAGCUCGGGGCGGGUCAGGUUGGAGAACGAGGUCGACGCGAAGAAGGAGGCGCGCGUUGGAGUCAAAGUGAGAGUUAGUAAUUAGGGUUUGUAAGUUUUAGACAAAGUGAAAAAAUUGUAAGUGUUGGGGAAAUGAAUAUUUUGGUCCCCCCGCGUAUCUGAAAAUUUCAACUUAGUCCCUCCGCGUUUUUUUAAAUUUUUCGAAUGAAACUUUUCACAUCGGUUACUUUGGUGACUGAUGUCCAUAAUAACAAUAGAAAUUGGUUUUUUCACAAACUGAUGUUAACACGUUUUUUAACAUCAGGUGCAAUCCUGACCGAUUUAAUAGUGGCGAUAUCUAAUGACAUUAUUCUAGUAGUGCGUCUUGCUAUGAAAGACAACAUUUUCGUCUUGUUAUGUCCAACAAUUUUUUUUUGGAAUUAAUAUAUGAAUACUAAAGGAUUAUAACACCGAACUAAUAGAUAAAGCAAACAAAUUUGUAUCUAUAGAUCCAAAAUUAACAACAUGCAUGUAUCUAAACAUCUCUUUUACCUCAGAUGGUUGCGAUUGCGACGGCAGAGCCGGAGCAUCAUUUUCCUUCGUUUCCUGGAUGUAUUUGUAGAUCUAAAAUUAACAUAUGUUUGUGAUUGCUCUGGAGAUGACGGCAACGCCGCCGGAGCAUCAUUUUCCUUCGUUUCCUGUAUUUGUAAUCUAAAAUUAACAUACGGUUGCAGUUGCUCUGGAGCUGACGGUGCCUGGACGCUGGCUAUCUUUUCGACCGCAUUAACCUACCUGGUAAAUUCCGGAGCAGAAGUAUGGAACUUGAAGACGGCGUAAGAUCCGAAAGAAAACGUGGAGAUGACAUUGAACGUAGCUUUUUCCCUCUCACAGACGGUUCUGAACCUCGACCAGGUGAGCACAAGACUGGCUUUUUGACGAAAUUGCGGAAUUCUUCAGCGUGAUCGGAUGCAUUCUUGAUAAUCGUCCUCCAGCCCUCGCGCCCCGCCACCGUAAUUCUCUUCCACCCCUGGUGCCACGCCCCCAUUGCCCUCUAACUCAGUGCGGCUAAAACAGUAAAACCCUAACCGGACUAUAUAUAUAAAGGAAUCUACUCACAGACAUCUGUCUUUCUAACUGGGCUAAUGAGCCUGAUUUUAAGCCUUUGGCAUUUUUCUUCGACAAAGUAAGCCUUUGGCAUUUAAUAUCAUUUCACUUACCAUGUCUUGAAAUAAAUGGUUUUUUGUGAUGUGUUAUGACUUUCGAUUGUCUGAUAAAUUGAUUUGCAAGAUUUUUGAACUCUAAAAUAUUUCGAUGAGAUUCCUGCCUUGGUUUAAAAUAUUAAUUUAGUUAUGACCUAUCACUUCACUAAACCUUAUAAAUUUUGAUAUUGAUUACGAUUGGUAUUGAUGAACUUGAUCUGCAUUCAUCUAAAGAUAAGUUGGAUGCAAGAUUUAAUAUAAUUCUUCUAUAUAUUCUAUGGUUAAUAUAAUUCAUAGCCUACUUCACUUUUACAUAUGUCAGUAAGAAUUGAACCCAUGACCUUUACAAUAUUGGAAUUAACUUAUCAAC